Molecule: long non-coding RNA, 315 nt
Filed under: Brassica napus (rape)
Lineage: Eukaryota; Viridiplantae; Streptophyta; Magnoliopsida; Brassicales; Brassicaceae
Description: long non-coding RNA (BNAP_LNC019812)
Source: RNAcentral
AGCCCACGUAGAGCAGCAGUGCAACCACAUCAACAACUGGUGUGGCGCUGAAAAGAUUUAGUGUGACCCCAACAGGAAUAGUGAGACAACCUUCUCGAGCUUAAAAAUUAUAAGUAAAGAAAUUGGAACCGUUGAUUUCUCUAUCUCAUUGAGCUCAAUAUAUAGUAAGCUUGAUGUAAAAGUACUGUAUUUUUCUUGCAGUAGAUUUAGAGGAGACUCACUUAUAUUGACUAGAGAGAAAACAAGGGUAGCCAAAAUAGACGACAUACCACUAAAAAGUAAAAAUAUCUUUCCAAAUCUGUAGAGAUCUUGCUC